GUGGGAGAUGUGAGAAUGUGUGUAGCAUACGCAUUUUUUCGCAUGUUUGUUCUUGUUUACGUUUAGAAAGAAAAUACUUGCUUAUAAUGUUUCAGGAUGAAAUUAUUUUAUGAAUGUAAAUAUUUAUUUUUUGCUGUGCAUCUCAACGACUAAAUAUGAAAAAAAUGACUGGCAGAUGCUGCAGUUUUUUCUUCAAUAUCCGCUCAAGUGGUAAAAUUCCUUGCAGUUCAUGCUAGUUGGAGAUGUUUUUAGUUAUUCAGUUUCCUUUAUUUCAUUUUUAAUUGAAAGGAUGGCAGUUCUUCUCUGUGACGCGGUUCUAAGACUUAAAUGUUGCCAUAAAUCGAGAUCAAGAUUCUUGGCGGCUUAAUUCCUUACUCCCCGACAAGUCUGAAAUCAAGAACAGUCAAGAAACUGGGGAACUUAAGCAAUUCCACGAUAAUAGCCGAAUGAUAACAUUAACCGCGAUCACAUUAAGCGGGGCAUAUUGUGAAUGGUAUUCUUAAUACAUCUGAACACAUGACCGCUCAUCACUUUUAACAUUUAAUACUGGAAAUUUUAAAAAAUUUAAACUUGCUUUCUAGGAACAAAAUGUGAUUGUAAUUUGACAUACAGUGAGUGUAGAAAUUAUUCGUGCACUCAUCAAAGGCAAUAUCUAAUAAAAAGCUUUUACCAAAUACGAGGGCAAAAAAUGAUAUGGAAAAGAUAUUGAAAUAGCUUUUAAAUGUACGAGAAACUAAGGACUGGAGAUUAAUUGGUGAGUCAAUGUAUUCGUACAUUCAAACAAAUGCAAAAUUUUGUUAGCAUUUUCUGAUUGAUUCUUUGAUAAUUGACAUAUCUUUCGAGUUAUAUAAAAUGAACGAGUGUAACUUCAAAUGUCAUAAGAAACAUAAAAUUUUAAUAUCGGUCGUAAGGACAAAGAAGUGAGUGUUUCGGAAAGAGAAUUAAUCUUAAAUCUUCUUAAAGGCUUUAAAUCGUACAAUAAAAUUUCAGUUUUUGUCUCCAUACUACGUUCAGCUGUGCAGUCGAUUAUUCUAAAGUUUAUUACCUCUAGAAAAGUGCAAAAUAGUUCUCGUUCAGAACGACCAUAUCUACUUACAUCCAUUGACAGACGAUUUCUGGCACGUUCAUUGAAGAAAGAUCCGAAACAAAGUGCUCCUACCCUUACAGCAGAGUUGAGAAACAUUGUAAGAGCACAGUAUCCUUAAGUACAACUCGAAAUGAAUGCAGAAAACAAGGUUACUAUGGCCGUGUUGCGAGACGAAAAUUCUUUGUGAGGGAGAGCAAUCUGAAGUCACGUUUAUUCUUCACCAAAAAAAAAAAAAAAAAAAAAAAAAAAAAAAAAAAAAAAA
Molecule: long non-coding RNA, 1349 nt
Organism: Stegodyphus dumicola
Lineage: Eukaryota; Metazoa; Arthropoda; Arachnida; Araneae; Eresidae
Source: RefSeq, a predicted model, not a curated record